GAUGAGUUGAUGACAUUGCGAUGUAACACUAAAACACAAAUGCAGGCAAAAGAAAUUGUGUGGCGAAGAAGACUGCAAGAGAUGUGGCAAUUUUGAUGUGAAAGAACCAUGCCUAGGAAAGACUGAUUGUUCUGUCUGUCACUCUAGCACUGGUGUUUUUUGUAGAGCCUGUCUCAAGAUUUGAUAUGGUGAAGAAAUAGAGGAAGUGAGAAAGAACAAGGGAUGGAUGUGCCCUCAUUGCAUAGAAGCAAAAGGAAUAAACCCUCACUGGAUAUGUAACAGUUCAAUAUGCCUGAGGAACGAAAGAUGCCUCCAACUGGAAUAGCAUAUUAAUUUCUUCAAUGUUAAUAUCUUUGUACUGAGUGUGGUACGUUUUCUUUAAUCAGUGGCAGAUCUACUAAUGGA
This is a long non-coding RNA of Glycine soja, 405 nucleotides long. RefSeq lists it as uncharacterized. The record is from RefSeq and is a predicted model, not a curated record. NCBI's taxonomy places the organism in Eukaryota, Viridiplantae, Streptophyta, Magnoliopsida, Fabales, Fabaceae. The transcript is spliced from 4 exons.